GGGAACGUGGCUCAGUGGUAGAGCGCUUGCCUUGCAUGCAUGAGGUCCUGGGUUCGAUUCCUUAGCACCA
This 70-nucleotide transfer RNA is filed under the name Dipodomys ordii (Ord's kangaroo rat). It matches the Rfam family "tRNA". Rfam says of the family: Transfer RNA (tRNA) molecules are approximately 80 nucleotides in length. Their secondary structure includes four short double-helical elements and three loops (D, anti-codon, and T loops). The record is from Rfam by way of RNAcentral. Lineage: Eukaryota; Metazoa; Chordata; Mammalia; Rodentia; Heteromyidae.